This 694-nucleotide ribosomal RNA is filed under the name uncultured Inocybe. RNAcentral describes it as "eukaryotic LSU rRNA". The stretch from base 288 to 441 matches the Rfam family "5.8S ribosomal RNA". The record is from RNAcentral. Lineage: Eukaryota; Fungi; Basidiomycota; Agaricomycetes; Agaricales; Cortinariaceae.
CCGUAGGUGAACCUGCGGAAGGAUCAUUAUCGAAUAAACUUGAACAGGCUGUUGCUGGUCCCCAGGACAUGUGCACGCUUGUCAUCUUUAUCAUUUCUCCAACUGUGCACAUAUUGUAGACCCUGGAGGUUUUGUCUUUUGGAUUAGUUUCCGAGUUUUGGGACUGCUGUGCCUCGAAGAAAGAGGUCGGCUUUCCCUUUACAUCCUCCAGGUCUAUGUCACAACCUCUCGAACGUGUUUAGAAUGUUGAAUAAAAGGUCCUUUUGUACCUAUAAAGUUAUAAAUACAACUUUCAGCAACGGAUCUCUUGGCUCUCGCAUCGAUGAAGAACGCAGCGAAAUGCGAUAAGUAAUGUGAAUUGCAGAAUUCAGUGAAUCAUCGAAUCUUUGAACGCAUCUUGCGCUCCUUGGUAUUCCGAGGAGCAUGCCUGUUUGAGUGUCAUUUAAAUUCUCAAACCACUUGACAGUGGCUUUGGAUGUGGGGGGCUUGCAGGCUUUCUUCUCAAGUCUGCUCCCCUGAAAUGCAUUAGUGGUAUCUGGAGCGGAAACCGCUAGGUGUGAUAAUUAAUCGUCUACGCCUUUGGUAUGCCGCAUAAAACAGAUUGUGCUGCUUCCAACACGCACUUUUUGACAAACUUGACCUCAAAUCAGGUAGGACUACCCGCUGAACUUAAGCAUAUCAAUAAGCGGAGGAA